RNAcentral lists this unclassified non-coding RNA (814 nucleotides) under Hevea brasiliensis (rubber tree). The record is from RNAcentral. Lineage: Eukaryota; Viridiplantae; Streptophyta; Magnoliopsida; Malpighiales; Euphorbiaceae.
AUCCUCCGUGAAUCCACUACCGCUACCAGAUAUCUUUUUUUUAAAGGUAAAAUAGAAAGAAAUAAAACUACCAAGGGUACCAAUAAUGUAAAAAGUAAGAUGGAAACCCAUCCUGGGAGUUCAACGUCUAUCCACUUGACUUUAGCGGAAGAAAAAACUACUGAUAAAAGACUAGUGUAAUUUUGCCAGAGAUCAAAUACUUCAGUGUCUAACUUAUCAAAGAAGCAAAUAAAACUAAAAGAUAGCCUAAUGUUAACAGAUCCUUAGAACUUUCCUCCUCCAUACUUGAGCUAACGUGAAACAGUGCGUAGCAACAUCGUGAAAUCACAGCUCAUUAUCAGCAGUUGUUUUCUUUCCAUUCACAGCAACCAGCUCAGUGUCGAAGACAAGAGUUGCACCACCUGGGAUCUUUGGUGGAGAUCCACUCUCUCCAUAACCAAGUUUAGCAGGAAUUUUCAACUUUCGCUUCUCUCCCACACACAUUCCAAGAAGUCCCUGAUCCCAACCUUUAAUCACUUGACCGCUUCCAAGUUCAAAUUCAAUGGGGUCAUUCCUCUCAUAGCUAGAAUCAAACACAGUUCCAUCUGUAAGUUUUCCACUGUAGUGUACUGAAACUCUAUCUCCCUUGUGAGCCUUAAGUUCACAAGAUGUUGGCUUAAACUUCACACCGAUCUGCAACUCCGUAACAUCGCCUGACUUUUUAGCGGUAACUAGAGUAACAAGAAGAAAAACAAUGAACAAAGUAGUGGGAUUGAUUGCUCGGCCGAAUUCCAUCGUCGAUUUUGUUUCUUCACACUGCCCUUCUUUCCUUCCG